AUUGAACGCUGGCGGAAUGCUUUACACAUGCAAGUCGAACGGCAGCACGGACUUCGGUCUGGUGGCGAGUGGCGAACGGGUGAGUAAUACAUCGGAACGUGCCCAAUCGUGGGGGAUAACGUAGCGAAAGCUACGCUAAUACCGCAUACGAUCUAAGGAUGAAAGCGGGGGAUCGCAAGACCUCGCGCGAUUGGAGCGGCCGAUGGCAGAUUAGGUAGUUGGUGGGGUAAAGGCCUACCAAGCCGACGAUCUGUAGCUGGUCUGAGAGGAUGAUCAGCCACACUGGGACUGAGACACGGCCCAAACUCCUACGGGAGGCAGCAGUGGGGAAUUUUGGACAAUGGACGCAAGUCUGAUCCAGCCAUUCCGCGUGCAGGAUGAAGGCCCUCGGGUUGUAAACUGCUUUUGUACAGAACGAAAAGGCUCUGGUUAAUACCUAGGGCUCAUGACGGUACUGUAAGAAUAAGCACCGGCUAACUACGUGCCAGCAGCCGCAGUAA
RNAcentral lists this ribosomal RNA (500 nucleotides) under uncultured bacterium. RNAcentral describes it as "partial 16S ribosomal RNA". It matches the Rfam family "Bacterial small subunit ribosomal RNA", at positions 30 to 523 of the family's 1533-position model. The record is from RNAcentral.